This 253-nucleotide ribosomal RNA is filed under the name uncultured bacterium. RNAcentral describes it as "partial 16S ribosomal RNA". It matches the Rfam family "Bacterial small subunit ribosomal RNA", at positions 524 to 776 of the family's 1533-position model. The record is from RNAcentral.
UACGGGGGGGGUAAGCGUUGUUCGGAAUUACUGGGCGUAAAGGGCUCGUAGGCGGCCAACUAAGUCAGACGUGAAAUCCCUCAGCUUAACUGGGGAACUGCGUGUGAUACUGGAUGGCUUGGAUUUGGGAGAGGGAUGCGGAAUUCCAGGUGUAGCGGUGAAAUGCGUAGAUAUCGGAAGGAACAUCAGUGGCGAAGGCGACUUCCUGGACCAUUACUGACACUGAGGCACGAAAGCGUGGGGAGCGAACAGG